CGGGGCGUAGUCUAGUGGAACAGGCAGCGAGCUUCUAACUCGCCUUACGAGGGUUCGAAUCCUUCCGUCCCGA
RNAcentral lists this transfer RNA (73 nucleotides) under Escherichia phage vB_EcoP-CHD5UKE1. Its description in RNAcentral is "tRNA-Arg". It matches the Rfam family "tRNA". Rfam says of the family: Transfer RNA (tRNA) molecules are approximately 80 nucleotides in length. Their secondary structure includes four short double-helical elements and three loops (D, anti-codon, and T loops). Lineage: Duplodnaviria; Heunggongvirae; Uroviricota; Caudoviricetes; Mtkvariviridae. RNAcentral also lists the same sequence under 1 other name. The record is from RNAcentral.